This 4597-nucleotide long non-coding RNA is filed under the name Brassica napus (rape). RNAcentral describes it as "long non-coding RNA (BNAP_LNC019262)". The record is from RNAcentral. Lineage: Eukaryota; Viridiplantae; Streptophyta; Magnoliopsida; Brassicales; Brassicaceae.
UGAACCCGUGGAAGUACAUCAACGGAGCCAUUCUACCUGGUAAGUAUCCUCCAGGGUUUUUCCAGAUCGUUUUGCCUUCAACAACCAAGUCCUUGAGAGCAGGAUCACAGUGGAUGAAGUAGAGGUUGUACAUUCCUGUCCUAGUGAUCUGAAUCGAUCUUGUAAGCAGCGUAGCAGACAAAUCGUUCUCAAGAAACGAAACACCAAAGACUUGAGGCCAGGAGGAGUCUUUAGAAGAAGGAUGGUGGAUGAUCUCUCCGUGUGAGCAAACACCGAGUUUGGCGAGAUCAGAUGUGCAGCAGACAGCUCUCUGUCCGCCGUAAGCUGAUCCUCCGAUGUUCUCCCUGUCUUCUACCUCGAAAAGGACGGCGUGGAUUGGUAAUGAGGAGGUGUUGGAAGCUUCCUCAGGUCUCCGGAAUGUGAUCUUCUCGAAACUGUUAAAUGCAUUCAAAGUAAGAGACUUUCAGAGAGAAGCAGCUACGAUGAUACUCAAAACACAAGGAAAGUUCAAAACUUGACACGUGGAAGCAAUGCUUACUCAGAGAGGACACACACAGAGUUUACUAUGUACAUGAUUCGAUUCAGAGAGGAUACACACAGAGUUUCAAAGUAAGAUGUUACUCAAACACAAUGAAAGUUACACUCUUUGACACGUGGAAGCAAUGUGCAUGAUUCAGAGAGGACACACACAGAGUUUCAAAGUAAGAAACUUUCACAGAGAAAACAGCUAAGAUGUUACUCAAACACAAUGAAAGUUCAACUCUUUGACACGUGGAAGCAAUGUUCAGUACAAACAGCGUUUCAAAGUAAGAAACUUUCACAGAGAAACAGCUAAGAACUGUAAAUAAACGAACUAAAUCAGCUCUAAGAUCCAACUCGUAGACGAAGAAUCCUAAUGGGUUCUGAUUAAAAAGUCAGAUCCUAAGCAGAUUUAAAAGAGGAAACUUUAGUUAAAGAAAUGGAAACAGACAAGUUUACCGGAUAAAGGAGGAGAGGGAAUCAGAGUCGGAGGUGAAGUUGUCGGAGGGAGAAGAGGAGUAGAUGCCUUCGCUGCCGCCGUGGAAGACAAAGGCGUUGCCUUUCGACAUGAAUCUCUCGCUUCGGUACUCAUGCACCGACGCUUGUAGCAAAGAAGGCGUCAGGGAUAGUAGCGAAAGAAGGAGAAGAAGAUGAAGCGACAUUGAAACCGAGGAGAAGAAGCAGAGAUCUGAAGAGGAGAAAAAGCUGAUGACUGUAAGGACGUCAGUGAGAAACUGAGAUGUGUCAAAUGAGUUUUGAUCGUACGGCUGUCAAUAGGUUGCCCCUUUGAUCGUUUCUAGAUGUUGGAAGGUUCUACUGAAAUGGUUGAACCUAUAAGCCUCUGGUUUAGUCAGAGGGUUCAGCCGACAACUAUAUCCUCGAUUUUAUAAUGGGCCUUUUGUGGGCCUUUUAACUGUGUUUUGAAAUAUAUGGUCCAUGAAAACUGGAUUUCAUAUUUAGGAGAUGAACCUAGAAGUAGUCGUGUUGGAAGUUAAGCUCAUAAAAUGAAAACUGGCCGAUUCUAAAACUGUUAUCACAAACAAAAAGCCAUAUAAUUUUUUUUGUAACAUGAAGAUUCUAUCCUAGGCAGAAAUCUUUAAUCUCAAACUCAAAACUACACCAUGUAAUAUUAGUUUCAUUCUAAGUGUCAUUUAAAUUCUAGAGCAUUUAGGUUUUGUUUUUGAUAUUUUUUUUCGGUUAAGAUAUUGAUACGCGAAGCAAUUGUUUAGGACGCGUUUCUUUCUCUUAAAUUAUUUUUUUUCACCGCUCUCUAGAAAGUUCGCCGUUUCUCAUAUUUUCUGUGCUCCGGCGGUCGCCGCGUCCUCCUUUCGCGGUCGUCGGAGGCCUGCCUCCUUUUGUCUCCGCUUCUCCUCGUCUCUCCCUGUAGUCUUUUCUGUUUUGCGGCGGAGGGCAGCUAGACGAGUCAACCUCUUCCGGUCCAGAUCCAAAGCUCACGUCGUAGAUCUAGGAGGCUCUCGGUACGGUAAGUGGUGCUUGAGGACGGCGUUCGCCUUGUCGCACUUGUCUCCUCCUCUCGGUUGUGGUCUUUGUCCGGUGAGAUUUUCCAGAUCUCGUUUGGCUCUUCAGGUCAGGCGUCGCGUGGGUCGUCGGUGGUCUCUUCCAAGGGUUCUCCUCCUCCUUCAGUGUGGCUUGUGGCUGUCGUGGGGUUGGGGCUCUUCUCGGAGGUCCGGUCUAGAGCUUUCUGCUCCGGGCUCAAGUUUAGAGUUUUGUUUUCCACCGGUGGUCUCUGGUGGAUUGCGUGGAGGCUUCUGAGGUUGGGUCUCGACUUUCCUCUUGAUUGUCUCCGGUGGCGACGCUAUGUGGUUAGCUUCGGUGCUCCACUUCAAAGCAUGUCUUGCCGGUGGUGUGGCGCUCAUCGCCCCUGUCUUUCCUCCAUGUGCUUCUUGCAGGUACUAUUGCUCUGAUGUGGGUUGUAGUGAUCGUUUUUGAUUAGUGACAGGCUGUCAAUUGGGCAUUUGUGUUGUGCUCUCGUUCGAUGUUAGCUGCUCCGGAGGUGUGUACCCUUCCGGUCCCUUUGUUCUAUAUGAACCUUCGGUUAAAAGGGUGUAUACGGUCACGGUAGGCGGAUUUGGAAGCAGCAAUCUUCGAGUCUUCCUUUCGUACGAAGGCAUCGUCGGAUUGUGUCACUACCUAGUGCCGUCGGUCGUGGUUCGUGUCGGGUGGAGAGUCGGUUUGUGCUUGUGAUUCUUUGGACUGGUUUGUGUUCGGUGGGUCUCUAGGAAGCUGUGAGCACCCUGCGUUCAAGGUUUGAGGAGGCCUUUCUCUCGGGCUCCUUCCUGCUCCGCUCCUGGUUCCCUGGUCUGAGCUUGCCUCAUUGCCUUCUGUUGCUCUGACUUCAUCUCUCACCAUUAAUGUGCUUAUGUUCUUGUACUGAAACUUGUUGUUUAUUUUUCUGCACUUCUACUAGUCAUCUUGUAAUUUCUGUCAAAAACCCAAAAUUUUGGUAUAAUAAAUUUAACAUUUUACCAAAAAAAAAAACAAUUAAGAGUCCUCAUCACUCUAUGGUUCAGGUUGUCUUCCACGACGACACUUUUAGAGCGGAUAACCUCCUUAUUUAGCAAUAUUCUAGUGACCAUAGCCGAUGAGAAUAAAAAGGCAUAUUGUAGUGCCAAGUGUGGCACUUUGUUGGCUCUUAAUCUUAUGGAGAAAGGUGAGCAAGUAGUAUCACAAGUUAAAAAAAACACUUGGAUGAAAGUUUAGUCAAUAGAUUUAAGGUUGAAGAAUACAGAGCCUCAACAAUCCUAAUUAAAUGUAUUUUUAAUAAUUUUAACUUAACUCAUAGUUAAGGAACCCACCAAAUUGAUUUAUGCUUGGAAUCCAUAUAAUUGCAUGGCAAUUCUGGUUGAAACGAUGGUUGUCCUAAUCUACUUGGAUGCUUUCGUUUAGGACCCACACAGUUUGUGUGAUUAACAACUUUAUUGAAUAAAUAUGACAGAACAGAACAAAGUGUAAAGAAAAAAAGAGAGUGACGAAGUCUUUAUAUAAAACUAAGGUUAUCCACCUGAAAAUACACAACUACAUACAUGUAUGUAUAUAUAUAAUUCUCUCCUUAUAUACACACAUGUAUGUACUCGUAUAAAUGUUUAAUUUAAAGUAAAGCUGCCAACAAGUUAAAAAAAACUUUAGUUACAGAUUAUGAGAUUAAAAGACAGUUGUUUCUGUUACAUUACCUCGUAGCAAAUCCAACCAACGGAAACCAAGAUAGCUACAGCCAAAGCGUUAGUGAACUUCCUGUACACAUCCAACUUCACCAACAGCCUCCUCGUCUGAAGCUUCUUGAAAGUAGCCGAAAGCGACUUGAAUAUCCAUAUGAUGAAGAAAGCAUCCAACACCGCAACGGGGAGAACCAAAAACAGUCUCGCUUUCCCUGAGAAGUCACUAACCGCACCAACAUUCUCCAACAGCUCAAGAGUCUCGGAAGCAGCGAAGAAAGUGACACCAAGCAUGAUCACCUUCGAUGUAAACCCACCAAGCGUAGGCCUCACGACACCGUACCCCAUCGAAACCAUAAGGAUGAUGACACGUGCGCACGUGCGUUUGAUAGACCCAAACGUGACUGCCCAUACGGUGAUCACCGUUGGUCUAACACCAGUCUCGUUGAACUCAGCGUAGUCGAAGUACCAAAGCGCCAUCUCGCACAUCCCUAACGUUAUCACUAAAGUUACACAAUUCUGCAAGGGAAGCACUUCUCUCCAGAACCUCGCGCACUGGGAGAACCAGAAGACUCCGAGGAGCACAAAGGCGAGAGACAUGAACCCGUAGAAGUACAUCAGCGGCGCCAUUCUACCUGGUAAGUAUCCUCCAGGGUUUUUCCAGAUGGUUUUGCCUUCAACGACCAAGUCCUUGAGAGCAGGAUCACAGUGGAUGAAGUAGAGGUUAUACAUUCCUGUCCUAGUGAUCUGAAUCGAUCUUGUAAGCAGCGUAGCAGACAAAUCAUUCUCAACAAAGGAAACACCGAAGACUUGAGGCCAGGAGGAGUCUUUAGAAGAAGGAUGGUGGAUGAUCUCUCCGUGUGAGCAAACACCGAGUUUGGCGAGAUCAGAUGUGCAGCAGACAG